UAAGGCUGAGCUGUGAUGGGGAGAAGACAUUGUGUCUUCGAGUCGUUGAUUUCACACUGCCGAGAAAAGCCUCUAGAUAGAAAAUAGGUGCCCGUACCGCAAACCGACACAGGUAGUCAAGAUGAGAAUUCUAAGGUGAGCGAGCGAACUCUCGUUAAGGAACUCGGCAAAAUGACCCCGUAACUUCGGGAGAAGGGGUGCUCUUUAGGGUUAACGCCCAGAAGAGCCGCAGUGAAUAGGCCCAAGCGACUGUUUAUCAAAAACACAGGUCUCUGCUAAACCGUAAGGUGAUGUAUAGGGGCUGACGCCUGCCCGGUGCUGGAAGGUUAAGAGGAGUGGUUAGCUUCUGCGAAGCUACGAAUCGAAGCCCCAGUAAACGGCGGCCGUAACUAUAACGGUCCUAAGGUAGCGAAAUUCCUUGUCGGGUAAGUUCCGACCCGCACGAAAGGCGUAACGAUUUGGGCACUGUCUCAACGAGAGACUCGGUGAAAUCAUAGUACCUGUGAAGAUGCAGGUUACCCGCGACAGGACGGAAAGACCCCGUGGAGCUUUACUGU
Molecule: ribosomal RNA, 557 nt
Filed under: Staphylococcus aureus
Lineage: Bacteria; Bacillati; Bacillota; Bacilli; Caryophanales; Staphylococcaceae
Description: partial 23S ribosomal RNA
Rfam family: Bacterial large subunit ribosomal RNA
Source: RNAcentral